This 253-nucleotide ribosomal RNA is filed under the name uncultured bacterium. RNAcentral's name for it is "partial 16S ribosomal RNA". It matches the Rfam family "Bacterial small subunit ribosomal RNA", at positions 524 to 776 of the family's 1533-position model. The record is from RNAcentral.
UACGUAGGGCGCGAGCGUUGUCCGGAUUUAUUGGGCGUAAAGAGCUCGUAGGCGGCUUGUCGCGUCGGUCGUGAAAUCCUGCAGCUCAACUGCAGGCUUGCGGUCGAUACGGGCAGGCUAGAGUUCGGUAGGGGAGAGUGGAAUUCCUGGUGUAGCGGUGAAAUGCGCAGAUAUCAGGAGGAACACCGGUGGCGAAGGCGGGUCUCUGGGCCGAUACCGACGCUGAGGAGCGAAAGCGUGGGGAGCGAACAGG